UACGAAGGUGGGAAGCGUUGUUCGGAUUUACUGGGCGUACAGGGAGCGUAGGCGGUUGGGUAAGCCCUCCGUGAAAUCUCCGGGCCUAACCCGGAAAGUGCGGAGGGGACUGCUCGGCUAGAGGAUGGGAGAGGAGCGCGGAAUUCCCGGUGUAGCGGUGAAAUGCGUAGAGAUCGGGAGGAAGGCCGGUGGCGAAGGCGGCGCUCUGGAACAUUUCUGACGCUGAGGCUCGAAAGCGUGGGGAGCAAACAGG
RNAcentral lists this ribosomal RNA (253 nucleotides) under uncultured bacterium. Its description in RNAcentral is "partial 16S ribosomal RNA". It matches the Rfam family "Bacterial small subunit ribosomal RNA", at positions 524 to 776 of the family's 1533-position model. The record is from RNAcentral.